UACGGAGGAUGCAAGCGUUAUCCGGAAUGAUUGGGCGUAAAGCGUCCGCAGGUGGCUGUGUAAGUCUGCUGUUAAAGAGUGAGGCUCAACCUCAUAAAAGCAGUGGAAACUACACAGCUAGAGUGCGUUCGGGGCAGAGGGAAUUCCUGGUGUAGCGGUGAAAUGCGUAGAGAUCAGGAAGAACACCGGUGGCGAAGGCGCUCUGCUGGGCCGCAACUGACACUGAGGGACGAAAGCUAGGGGAGCGAAUGGG
This 253-nucleotide ribosomal RNA is filed under the name uncultured bacterium. Its description in RNAcentral is "partial 16S ribosomal RNA". It matches the Rfam family "Bacterial small subunit ribosomal RNA", at positions 524 to 776 of the family's 1533-position model. The record is from RNAcentral.